CCUACGGGAGGCAGCAGUGAGGAAUAUUGGUCAAUGGGAGAGAUCCUGAACCAGCCAAGCCGCGUGAGGGAAGACGGCCCUAUGGGUUGUAAACCUCUUUUGUCGGAGAACAAAACCCGGGACGUGUCCCGGACUGCGUGUAUCCGAAGAAAAAGCAUCGGCUAACUCCGUGCCAGCAGCCGCGGUAAUCCGGAGGAUGCGAGCGUUAUCCGGAUUUAUUGGGUUUAAAGGGUGCGUAGGCGGUCCGUUAAGUCAGCGGUAAAAUUGCGGGGCUCAACCCCGUCGAGCCGUUGAAACUGGCAGACUAGAGUUGGCGAGAGGUACGCGGAAUGCGCGGUGUAGCGGUGAAAUGCAUAGAUAUCGCGCAGAACUCCGAUUGCGAAGGCAGCGUACUGGCGCCAGACUGACGCUGAGGCACGAAAGCGUGGGGAUCGAACAGGAUUAGAUACCCGGGUAGUC
This 459-nucleotide ribosomal RNA is filed under the name uncultured bacterium. RNAcentral describes it as "partial 16S ribosomal RNA". It matches the Rfam family "Bacterial small subunit ribosomal RNA", at positions 338 to 795 of the family's 1533-position model. The record is from RNAcentral.